UUCAUUUGGAACCCAAAAUACAAUAACUAUUCUUCAACUAGAAACAACGACAAUUGGGGACUAGGGUUCAUCAAUUACUAAACAAGUAAACAUCAAACCCUAAGUCACCAUAAAUCUCUCCAUCCUACGAUCGAAUUCCCAAAAUCAUUACGUCAUUCCAGUGAAUUCACCCAAUCUACUCACCAGUCUUGAGUUUAAGACAAUCAAUUCGAGUGUUCUGUAUCAUCGCAAUUGGAUUCACCAUACCUAUUCCCUGAUUAAGAAGUUACUCAUUAUUUUGGUUGGAAGGGUUAAGGGAAAGAGAGUUAUGUUCUUGAAGUAGCUUACUUCCAGAUUGCUUCUCAUCACUGGUGAAAUUUCUUUGUAAUUUUUUUGGGUUUAAUGUUUCUUGUGAAUGUAUAAAUGUCGACACAUUAUGCCACAUGCGAAAAUAGUGCACACUAUAUAUUAGGCUAUUUUACAUCAUUGCUAAGCUACAUUUUUUCACGCUAAAUCAUGCCUGAACCGCAUUUUUCCACGUUACAUAAUCAGGAACCCUAUAUUGGAUACUACUCUUAUAAUCAUUACAUGCAGUGGCGGAACUAGAACAUCAACUCAGGGGUAUCCCUCAAAUUUUUUUUAUCGUUCAAUUGCUCAAAUCAAUAAUCAUUCAAUUUUGGGCUAUUAUUUACUUAUUUGGGCUUAGCAAAUGUGUAUUAUUUACUUAUUUGGGCUUACCUAAUGUGUUAUUAUUUACUUAUUUGAGCUUACCAAUAUCUUAUUAUUUUGUAAAAAAAAUUUGAGGGGUGUCCUCGUACUUGUUCAGGGGUGUCCUAUGUAUAAAAAUCGAAAAAAAUAAAAAAUUUAACACUACUAGUAAAAACUUGAGCCGUAGCCCGGGCUACGCCCCACAUAACUAAGGGUCCGCCCCUGAUUACAUGGUUCAUUUAAUGACUUAUUAUAAAUACAGAGCAUGCCUUCAUAUGACUUUAUGGUGAAUUUUGCAGACCACAUACAUGUGUCUUUAGAGUUGAUUUAACAUUUACUCCAUUGUUAAAUGGCCGGUUACAAUUGGAAGACAAAGCUCCCUAGAUCAAAAACAUGAACGGAAGAUUUCAUGCAUUGGCCUAUGCUCGAUUGACAUUUGAUAAUCAUGUUGCAUUAUUUGACAUGUCAUCUGCUUUUAAAUGCACCUACGUUAUUACUUUUAUACUUAUUAUUUAAGAUCCAAUUUACUAACAUGUUGAUCGUCAUUGAACUGAGUGAUUUGCAUGGGACAACACAACUAUGGUCGGACAUGGUCAAAAUAUUUACACGUUCUAACCUAUACAUCGAAUAAUCCUAAUUUAAGCACGCAGACCUAGCUAGGUGCAACCGAUAUGCCAGACAAAGCUCUACGCACAUGAGUCACGGGUGACAUGUUCUAAAUCUCAUCCCUAAAUGUAGUACGAAUAUAAUCCUUGAUAACUGAGCUAUCUAUCCAAUAUGUAUACACAUGCAUUACUUUAUUCAUUAGAUGGUUUAUUAUAAUUAGGGCAUUUACUCCCGUAUGACUUGAUGAGAUACUCCAUAAACUAUAUAUUUGCCUUUGACAAUGAUCUGACAAUAAAAUAAUACCUACAAGCAAGGCACAUCGCCCACUAAACAAAAAGUGGUAAUAAAGGUUUCACCUCUAUUUCACGCACACGUAUCUACAAUAUGUUUAAACUAAUUAAUAAGCAUGCCAUAGUCUUUAGCAUGUUAUGCUGCAUAUUAGGGGUGUGAAUUUCUGACCCGACACGAACCUAAGACGAAAUAUAUGGGUUUAGGUUUAGUCUAAACGGGUUCGGGUCAGUUUCAGGUUGAACCCGCGAACCCGUUUAGAUAAACGGGUCGGGUUUGGGUCAACCUGGUCAAGUUGAUGGGUUGACCCGUUUAACCCCUUUGUAUUAUAUAAUAUUUUUUUACAAUAUGUUUUAUGUUAUAAAUUAAAUUGGCUAUGUAUUUUAUGCUAAAAUUGUAACUUAGAAAAAGAAAUUCACAUAAGAUUUUAUAAUUUAAAUGUAAUUGUAUUAUAUACAUUUGUGUUUUUUAAGUAAACUUUAAAUGUAAUAUAUUAAUUUGUGUACAAAAAAUUAAAAAAUAAAAGUUUUCGGGUUGAACGGGUUGUGUUCGGGUCAACCCAUGAAUAUUCGGUUCGGGUUCAUUGGUAUGACACAAUUUUCGGGUUCGGGUCGGGUUCGGGUUUGUAUAAAAUUUUUGGGUUCGGGUCGGGUUGAACCCGCCAACCCGCGAACACGACCCGUUUAGCACCCCUACUGCAUAUGUACAUGCAUUAUUUAAUUUAUACUUAUCAUGCAAGUUCAGAGCUACUAACAUCAUCUAGCAACAUCAAGCUGAUGACUUGCAGGCUCUAACAACACAGACAAUCCAAUUUCCGAUCGUGGUCUGGCAACACCGAGGGUUUCAGUCUGUACCUUCCGGUUUACACACUUAAUUAUCUGUAUUGUGGAACAUAGUUAGGGUCACACAACUUCAUUUAGAACUGUCCUACUUGACAAUUGACAUUUAUCGGCGUGCUACACACUCAGUAGUGAUACACCUUCGUCAGAUUACGUAUUUGAUGAGGCUAGACUUAUGCUAGACGAUAUUGUGCUAGAUUACAUAUUCAGGUACACAAUUUCAGAACACGCUUGUGAAUGAUUGCACAGUGAACGUGCGUUAGAUCGGUUGGAGGCGCGGAUGGACGCCGCUCACCACCGUAUGGAACGUCUUCUCAUGCGAGCGAUCCAGGGCAAUAUACAGGCCACUAUGGCGCGUGGUGAGCAGCCAUUGCCGAUACCGCCGUUCUCGCCUGUCCCUGGAGAGGAUGCGGAUCAGGGGGCGGUAACCUCAGGCACUCAGGGGGCGGGGCCCUUAGACACCACUCAGGAUCCAUAGGUUUAGGAUCGUUGUACUUUUCUUGUAUUUUGACGGUUUAUGUAUUUUGAACAAUGUCAUGUGUUUUUACAAACUUAUUAUGUAAUUAAAUUUGCAGUUUCAGUUUA
Molecule: long non-coding RNA, 3005 nt
Organism: Helianthus annuus (common sunflower)
Lineage: Eukaryota; Viridiplantae; Streptophyta; Magnoliopsida; Asterales; Asteraceae
Exons: 2
Source: RefSeq, a predicted model, not a curated record